GACGAACGCUGGCGGCGUGCUUAACACAUGCAAGUCGAACGGUAAGGCCCUUCGGGGUACACGAGUGGCGAACGGGUGAGUAACACGUGGGUGAUCUGCCCUGCACUUCGGGAUAAGCCUGGGAAACUGGGUCUAAUACCGGAUAGGACCCUGGGAUGCAUGUCCUGGGGUGGAAAGCUUUUGCGGUGUGGGAUGGGCCCGCGGCCUAUCAGCUUGUUGGUGGGGUGACGGCCUACCAAGGCGACGACGGGUAGCCGGCCUGGGAGGGUGACCGGCCACACUGGGACUGAGCUACGGCGCAGACUCCUACGGGAGGCAGCAGCGGGGAAUAUUGCACAAUGGGCGCAAGCCUGAUGCAGCGACGCCGCGUGAGGGAUGACGGCCUUCGGGUUGUAAACCUCUUUCAGCACCGACGAAGCGCAAGUGGCGGUAGGUGCAGAAGAAGGACCGGCCAACUACGUGCCAGCCGCCGCAGUAA
This 478-nucleotide ribosomal RNA is filed under the name uncultured bacterium. RNAcentral describes it as "partial 16S ribosomal RNA". It matches the Rfam family "Bacterial small subunit ribosomal RNA", at positions 28 to 523 of the family's 1533-position model. The record is from RNAcentral.